CAAGUAGAUUAGCUGCUCUUCGGGUUGUUCUCCAGGCCUAGAAACAUGCCCCCGUUAGAGGGGAGGACAGCCUGGAGGGACCCCUCUCCAGCGGGGUUUUUAGUAUGCUGAGCCGAGGGGAUAAAAGAGGCUGUUGGGAAAUGAAAACCAGCAAACCAGGAGUGGCAGCACCUUUCAGGGCUGGGACCUGCUGACCCCGGAGCCGAAGACUGGAGCUGAGCUAAUUAAAUAGAAAAUAAACAGGCCUGAAGUUCCACUUGCCGGGACGGGCCGGUUGCAUUCACGGAGAAAGCUGGGCUCGCUCCGUGUCGCGCACCCAGGAACGGCACCAGGCAAGAGGAGAGCCCGGGGGGUGUCCCCGCGGCGGGGCGCCCACGUCGUGGUCACAGCAGGGCUGGCUCAGACCCCGAGGUUCAUUCUCGGAUUCCCCGUGAGCGCUCUGCGUGGCUAAGGGCUGCCUUCUCGCGUUGUUUUACGGCGUUUAUACGCUCUCGGCAUAUGCUCGUUUAUUCGGUGUGGGUGUAAAGUACCCUUGUUGCCGAGUUAUGUAAAGCAAGUAUGUAAGUAAACGUGAGCUGCAAAGUCUAGCGCAGCUCAAGCGCGGCCGGUCAGAUCUGCGCCAUCAAUACUUCACUGUUUACAAUCCUCCGUAGGCCUAAAGGACAUGCAGUGGCACUUUUUCUGCUUUUAAUUAUCAGGAAGCAACUGGAACAGCAUCGUCUCUGACACCAGCGAGGGUUGCGGAGACUCGCGCUGCUCUCAGACACCCAUCACUGGGUCGCUCACCCUGACCAGUCCCACGGCACCGAUUUCUUGGGACAGGUACCGCAGCGCUGAUUUCUUGGGCUCUGCCACGCGGCCCAUCUGGCAUCGAGGCUGCAGGGCAGCAGCUUGUUCUGGUUGCAGAGCACCCAGCGCAGCGACAGCGAGCCCCGUGUCACUGCCAAGAGGAGAGGAGCGAUCGAGUAAAGCAGGCAGCCACAAGCACCAUCCAGUGGUGGUGAUUCAGCAACUGCUCCCUCUGUGAUCCUGUCCAGCCCAGCUCCCAGCAUCGGCUGGGUAGACGAGCGCCUGGUUC
RNAcentral lists this long non-coding RNA (1078 nucleotides) under Struthio camelus australis. RNAcentral describes it as "lncRNA (ENSSCUG00000002966.1)". Lineage: Eukaryota; Metazoa; Chordata; Aves; Struthioniformes; Struthionidae. The record is from RNAcentral.